This is a non-coding RNA of Gossypium hirsutum (cotton), 125 nucleotides long. Lineage: Eukaryota; Viridiplantae; Streptophyta; Magnoliopsida; Malvales; Malvaceae. The record is from Rfam.
UGUUAAAAAUUUUAUCCAUUUGUACUAAUAAAAAUUGGCAUGGCUGAUAGAAAAAUUAGACAAUCAUGUUGUGUUGAUAUAUUGGGACUGGUUUUUAACGGUAGAAAUAGAUAAAAUUUUUAACA